AGUGAACGCUGGCGGUAGGCCUAACACAUGCAAGUCGAACGGCAGCACAGUAAGAGCUUGCUCUUACGGGUGGCGAGUGGCGGACGGGUGAGGAAUACAUCGGAAUCUACUUUUUCGUGGAGGAUAACGGAGGGACACUUACGCUAAUACCGCAUACGACCUACGGGUGAAAGCAGGGGAUCUUCGGACCUUGCGCGAUUGAAUGAGCCGAUGUCGGAUUAGCUAGUUGGCGGGGUAAAGGCCCACCAAGGCGACGAUCCGUAGCUGGUCUGAGAGGAUGAUCAGCCACACUGGAACUGAGACACGGUCCAGACUCCUACGGGAGGCAGCAGUGGGGAAUAUUGGACAAUGGGCGCAAGCCUGAUCCAGCCAUACCGCGUGGGUGAAGAAGGCCUUCGGGUUGUAAAGCCCUUUUGUUGGGAAAGAAAAGCAGCAGGUUAAUACCCCGCUGUUCUGACGGUACCCAAAGAAUAAGCACCGGCUAACUUCGUG
This 492-nucleotide ribosomal RNA is filed under the name uncultured bacterium. RNAcentral's name for it is "partial 16S ribosomal RNA". It matches the Rfam family "Bacterial small subunit ribosomal RNA", at positions 29 to 507 of the family's 1533-position model. The record is from RNAcentral.